AAAUAACCUAUCCAGAAUACUGUCAUAACCAGGAUAUCCCUAAUAACCAGGUUACUCGAGCACAUGUAAACACACUGCGAAAAGUAACCAAAUUAACAAGUAGAAGUAGGCUAUUACCUCCAAUAAAAUUAGUCAACUCAAGAAAAGGUCAAACGUCACCGCAUGAUUACGCCAACAGACUAGAGUUACCCCGUCUCUCUGGGUAAUGGUUAUAUAAUAGGACUUGUUCAAAGUUCUUGCACAACAGUUUGUGCAGUCGCUUACACUGCGCGCACGAAACACCAGAAACUAAUCUCAGAGAUGGAGGCUUUAUUCCAGACUCUGGGGUUGGAGUGGCUCGACUACAGGAGUAUUUUAAUAUUUGUUUUUCUUUUUGCCUUAUUUACUGAUAUUGUUAAAAACUGGCGACCUCAAACUACCCUCCGGGACCGUGGCCCAUACCGUUCAUUGGAGACUUGCCUCGCAUUUCACCUCCGAGGAUUCUGCUGGAUUUCGCAAAGUUUGCAAAGAAGUAUGGAAACAUCUACAGCCUUCGUUUGUUCGGAGGACAAGUCGUGGUGAUUCAUGGAUACAGGCUCGUGAAGAGGCGCUGGCCGUGAGAGGAGAGGACUACCUCGACCGACCAACCUUCCCUAUGUUUGAAGAACUCUUGGAAAUAAUGGUCUUGUGGCAUCCAAUGGCUACCUGUGGAAACAGCAGAGGCGGUUCGCUCUUCACACACUCAGAAACUUUGGUCUGGGCAAAAAGUCACUGGAGCCGGCCAUUCAACAGGAGUGCCAGUAUCUGGCCGAGGUGUUUGCACAACAGAAAGGUCAUUACACCGCAGUCCACACAUCGUUUAGAGCUGUUUGGUCUUUCUUUGUUUUCCCUGCUCUUUUUUUAA
Molecule: long non-coding RNA, 883 nt
Filed under: Neogobius melanostomus (round goby)
Lineage: Eukaryota; Metazoa; Chordata; Actinopteri; Gobiiformes; Gobiidae
Description: lncRNA (ENSNMLG00000009404.1)
Source: RNAcentral